This 24-nucleotide non-coding RNA is filed under the name Cricetulus griseus (Chinese hamster). Lineage: Eukaryota; Metazoa; Chordata; Mammalia; Rodentia; Cricetidae. The record is from RNAcentral.
CGGAACCAAGAUGGAUUGAUUAGA